UGGCUUUGGUCAAAGUCAAACUACUCUAAGUUUGAUUAAUUUUGUAGAAAAAAAGUAGUAAUAUUUUUAACCCAAGACAAAUAUAUUAUGAAAAAUUAUUCAAUUAUAGAUUUAAUGAAACUAUGCUGGUGUUGUAAAUAUUACUACUUUUUUCUACAGAACUAGUCAAACUUAGUCAAACUUAGAGUAGUUUGACUUUGACCAAAGUCAA
Molecule: microRNA precursor, 211 nt
Filed under: Oryza glumipatula
Lineage: Eukaryota; Viridiplantae; Streptophyta; Magnoliopsida; Poales; Poaceae
Description: MIR1435 microRNA precursor family
Rfam family: MIR1435 microRNA precursor family
Source: Rfam by way of RNAcentral